Molecule: ribosomal RNA, 485 nt
Filed under: uncultured bacterium
Lineage: Bacteria
Description: partial 16S ribosomal RNA
Rfam family: Bacterial small subunit ribosomal RNA
Source: RNAcentral
GACGAACGCUGGCAGCGUGCUUAACACAUGCAAGUCGAACGGGGCUCAUCGCUUCGGUGGUGGGCCUAGUGGCGAACGGGUGAGUAACGCGUGGGCAACCUGCCCCCGGCUCUGGGAUAACUCCAAGAAAUUGGGGCUAAUACCGGAUGUGACCGCUGGCCGCAUGGUCUGGUGGUGGAAAGGGUUUCCGGCUGGGGAUGGGCCCACGGCCUAUCAGCUUGUUGGUGGGGUAGUGGCCUACCAAGGCGACGACGGGUAGCCGGCCUGAGAGGGUGACCGGCCACACUGGGACUGAGGCACGGCCCAGACUCCUACGGGAGGCAGCAGUGGGGAAUAUUGCGCAAUGGGCGGAAGCCUGACGCAGCGACGCCGCGUGGGGGAUGACGGCCUUCGGGUUGUAAACCUCUUUCAGCAGGGACGAAGCCGCGAGGUGACGGUACCUGCAGAAGAAGCACCGGCCAACUACGUGCCAGCCGCCGCAGUAA